Long non-coding RNA from Misgurnus anguillicaudatus (oriental weatherfish), 3889 nucleotides. RefSeq lists it as uncharacterized. NCBI's taxonomy places the organism in Eukaryota, Metazoa, Chordata, Actinopteri, Cypriniformes, Cobitidae. The record is from RefSeq and is a predicted model, not a curated record.
AGCUGUUACUUUAACUACUAAGUUACUAAAAUCUUGAUUUAUAAACGCAACAUCGCAGACAAUUCAGCGCAAAUAAAAAAAUUGCCAUUACACAGAGUUACUACAGAAGGCAUGCGCGGGCAUAGGAGAGAGUGAGCUCGCGCACAAGCACAGAGAACCAGUGUGUGUGGGAAAACACUGCUAACCUUUCAUGAUAAACUCGAAUCGGUUGUCUUCUCUGUCAGUAACAUCUGACGUUUACGUGAAAAUGCAAGUACACAGAGGAAUCCGCAUGGAAAACACAGCCAACUUUUAAUUCUUUCACUCAGUGUCAUGUGUGAGAGGCGCUGUCGAGGGGCUUCACGCAGAGAGAGCGCGCGCACACACAAGAGGGGCACCACCGAGCGCUCACAACAAUAAAUGAAGCCGUUUUAAAUAAAAAUGUAAAUGUUGCGGCCAUUGUUGAUUUUGUGGCGCACACAAACAAAUCAAUGCAUUUUACGCAUGUCAACGUAUUUUCGUAGUCGACGUAAUCGAUGACGUUGACGCGUCGUUGCAGCACUAAUGUAAAUAUUCCUAUAGACAUUUCCUGGAAGAGCGUUUGUAAUGCUGUUACUUCUGUGGCACUAAGGGAGUUUCUGCACAAGAGCACCCCCUGGCUUUGGGAUGUGCCGGGAUUUCACUGUGGCUGCAUCCGAAAACUUAGGCAAUGACUUCGGAGGCAUGAAGGCAGCUCAGAGAAACGCUUUCGGACACACUUAAAAGGAAAUAUAAAGUUUGAAAUAUAAACAGAGAGCGCCUUUGUGAUAACUAAUCACAUAUUUGAAAACUAAAAUACUUAUCACUACAAAAUGCAAUUAAACGUGUAAGAAGUGAAAAUAUAAAUUUAUUUACACUAAAUGUGUGCUCCAGCCGCUUGCUUGGCCGCCAUUUUAUUUUUUUCUAACUCGACCAGGCUCGACCAAUCACAAUCCCCAUACGAGCGUACACAUAGAAUUGUGGGACAAGAUCUUAGGAUUCAGGAAGUAAACCUAACAUUGGUUUCGGACAUGCCUUGAUGCCUUCCUGCCUUGAAAUGCUGCCACAGAAAGCAGCAAUUUUGAACGCAGCCCAUAAUUCAUUAAAAUUCAUUCAUUGAGAAAAUGCACAUUUGCAUGAUUAAUCGUGACAGCCCUACUGCUUAUCAUUAUUGUUUUUUAGUAAACAAGAUUAUGUACAGCGGAUUUAAAGUGUCUACACAUCCUUUUUAAAUGGCAGGUUUUAUGAUGUCUAAAUGAAAUGACACCAAGAUGACUCAUGUUUAAACCUGUUCCACCUUUAUUGUGAAAUUGUAACCUGUAUAUUAGGAUAAGUGGAGGAACAUGAAAAAUAAAAAUCAUACAAUAACCUGGUUGCGAAAGUGUGCACACCCCUACUUAGUUGUAGCGCAUUUUAGAUUUUAUCACAGCAUGUAAUCAUUGUGGGUAAGAGUUAGUUUUUUCCUUGUAAAAGCACUCUAACUCUGUCAGUUUUGUUUGGCAUCUCUUGUGCACAACCACCUUCAGGUCACCCCACAGAUCUAAACUCUGGCUUGGACAUUACAAAACUUUUUUGAAAGAUUCGCAGCAGGACACAUCCUUCUACACUGUAGGCAGAGGUGUAAAAAGUACUUAAAAAUGUUACUCAAGUGAAAGUACAAGUACUGAGUGUAAAUUUUACUCAAUUAAAAGUAAAAGUAUCUGGCCAGAAUUAUACUUGAGUAAAAGUAAAAAAGUACUACAUUAAAAUUGUACUUGAGUAUUAAAAAAGUAAAAGUAACAGGAAGAAUAAAAACGAGAGAUUCAUGUUUAAGCUUUUAAUCUCUAAAAACAUGAAGUGAAUGAACCACAUAUGGUAUUAACUGUUUGUGUUAAAUUGUAUUUCAUUAUCAAACUAUAAGACUACUAAAUAAUUUCCAACAUGUUCUCACAAAGUUCUGUGAUAUAGAUACAGAAAUUUUUGCCCAUUUAUUUGUGUCAUUGACACGGAUCUCAGCAUUUUUUCUGUGUGCGUGUACCACCGACUUUCUUUUCCGUGUCGGUUUCAUGUAUUGAUUACUCAAUUGUUUUUCCUAUUUUAAAACCAUUUUCACGUGGGUUUGGGGUUAGAUUUGGGGUUUGGGUUAGGAUGUCACUUUAACUAUUGGUUUAUACAAUUUUUUCCAGACAAUUGUCGCCUGAUGUUAGGGUUAGGAGUUGGGUUUGGAUGUCAUUUUAUGUUACAGAAAGUCAUUCUAACCCCAAACCCAGGCGAAAAUGGAAAGAAAAUAGGAAAAACAAUUGAGUAACCAAUACGUGAAACUGACACGGAAAAGAAAGUCGGUCGUACAGACAAAGAAAAAUGCGGAGAUCCGUGACAAUGACAAUGAAUUUCAGUAUGCAACAUGCUACUCAAAAUUGUAAAACCUCGAAUUUAACUUAAAUUUCAAGUUCUAUCAAGCCUCUCACAGGCAGCCGAUUGAUCACACUGUCGGUCCAAAUCCGAUUUUGGUGCAUAUCCAAUAGAAAUCCAAUCACAUUCACAACGUGUGAACGGCUAAAAACCACAUGAAAUCAGUUUUUUUCUAAUCCGUUUCAGGCUGCAUCCAGAGGUGGUUUGAAAUCCUUUUCAAAACGCAUUUCCGGAAAUCCAUUUCAGUCUGACCGCCCUGAUCGCAUUUGUGUAGCUUUUCGGUUACGUCAUGCUGUCACUUCACAUGAAACACGUCAUACGUUGAGGCAGAUUGUCGUGCCAGUGUGACGUCAUUUGCCAUAAAACAGUGCAGAUAAUCCGGUAAACGGCUACAGGACGCACAGAUUGGAUCUGAACAGUUGUGAUACACAAUGUGGACAGUGAGUCUGUCAAAUUAGAUAUGCACCAAAAUCAGAUUUGAACUGACAGUGUGAACAAGGUAUUAGUCUUGAAAGAGAGGCUGCCAACAGCAGGGAACGUGUUACACUUCAUGUGUUGUCGGUUUCAAAGAAGCGAAGAAAUCUUCAUCAUUAGAUGAUUAGACUGUUGGCCAAUUCCUUAGUGUGGCCCAAAGGCUCCAGAAUAAAUAACAUUUAAAUUAAACUGGCCAUCAGCGCAAUUCAAUUGGUUUGAUAAAGCAAGGGAAAACAGAUCUCUAAAAUAGAAGUACUUUUUGACUGUAAAUAAAAUUGUAAGGAGUAAAAAGUACUUUUUUUCUUUAAAACAUGUAAUUAAGUAAAAGUAUUGAUUUAUAAUUGUACUCAAGUAAAGUAAAAAUCUCCAAAAAUAAUACUUAAGUACAGUAAUCAAGUAAAAUUACUCAAGUACUUUACACCUCUGACUGUAGGCAGCAGUAGACGUGAUGUAUAAUGCCAAACAUGCAACAUCAGUGGGCACACAGUACGAGAAGUCAGACUGGCAUAUGAGGAGUAAAGGUUGUACCUUGCAGCCACCCAUUACAAUGUCACCAAGCUGUAACAAAAGCAGGAGAAGUUAUGUUUCCAAAGUCUAAAUGGGGAAAUACAUUGCAAGGCCAGUAAAAACACAAGCAAGAUACUUUAUGUGGAUGACGUGAUCAGACUUGUUUUUCGAUGAGGUAUUCGAAGAUAAGCUGAAGGAAACCCCGAUUCCAAUGGACCUGGCAUCACAGUUUGAGAGACCUUCAAAGGAAGACUUGAUUGAAUGCCAUCUCACGUGCUUCAGUGUAGGGGUCGUCGGAAGCCAACAUACUGACCAGUCUGAUCAGGAAGCUCCAAGCAUAUCUGGAGAACAACACACGAUAGGUUUGAUAACCAUAUAGUGUCGUCUUUGAUAUGCCAUUUAUCUGUAUAGAUAGCUGUAUAAUUUUUUUUAAAGAAGAGCACAGUAUGGUUACUAAAGUAUGUUUAUUUGUAUACUGUUUAACAUCUAAAUAUAUAUUUAUAAUAAAUAAAAAACUUUU